RNAcentral lists this ribosomal RNA (253 nucleotides) under uncultured bacterium. RNAcentral describes it as "partial 16S ribosomal RNA". It matches the Rfam family "Bacterial small subunit ribosomal RNA", at positions 524 to 776 of the family's 1533-position model. The record is from RNAcentral.
UACGUAGGGUGCAAGCGUUGUCCGGAAUUAUUGGGCGUAAAGAGCUCGUAGGCGGUUUGUCGCGUCUGCCGUGAAAGUCCGGGGCUCAACUCCGGAUCUGCGGUGGGUACGGGCAGACUAGAGUGAUGUAGGGGAGACUGGAAUUCCUGGUGUAGCGGUGAAAUGCGCAGAUAUCAGGAGGAACACCGAUGGCGAAGGCGGUUCUCUGGGCCUGUACUGACGCUGAGGCACGAAAGCUAGGGGAGCAAACAGG